GCUCCGAAAAAAGGACUUAAAAACAGUGCAAAAUCGUCGUUAAUCGACUUUAAUAGUGUGAAAAACGUGCUCAGGGCACCUGAUUUACCCUUUAAGAGCGUUAUCAAGUGUUUUUAAGGCGAAAAUUCAACAAAAAUCGUGCAUUUGUGUUUGUUGCCUAUGAACCCCCCACCAUGUGUUUGUGUGACAUGGUGUAAAAGCAGAAAAUCGAAAAAAGUGCCCAAAAAGUGCCAGAAUUGCACGAUUUUAGUGUAAACAGUGCAUCUGAGCACGAAAAAAGGUGUUAAGAAGUGAUCCGCGCAUGAAAAAACCACAAAAUUGUGAAAAAAAAUUUUGCGUCAUCCAGCCCAUACUGGGCCAAGGUUUCGCCGGAUCUCUGUUUUCAGCGAUAUAAUUUGCCCAGAUUCUCGCCGGGUGCGGUUUUUAAGGCCAGCGGGUGGCCAAAGAACGUUCAUCCAGUGAAAACCGAUCGAAAAUCGCCCGUUCUGUGACCGAAAAAAGUGAAAUAAUAUUUAAUAUUAUUCGGGGAACAAAUUUAUGAAAAUUCGGUUCCGGGUGAAAUUGGGUGGGUUGACUGUACGGCCCCUGACGGACCGAUUGUUAAGGUGCCGUUACACGAGUAACCAUAGUUUAGGUGACCAUAGACGUGCAGAAAAUUUUUGUUUUUUUUGUGACAUCUGCCAAUUGCGAAUACUCACCGUGUGCUUGUGCGACGUGGUGCAAAAACAGAAAUUCGAAAAAAGUGCCCAAAAUGUGCCUGAGUUGCACUAUUUUAGUGUAAACAGUGUAUCUGAGCACGAAAAAAGGUGUGACAUCAGUUUGACAGCUAAGCAGGGGAAUUUCAAAGUGGCAUAACUUCGGCACCCGCCAAGCUACCCCGACGGGAAAGUGUUGCCUGUGGAAGCGGUAUCGAAAUCUUUCAGGGCAGGGUGAAAUAUUUCACUUUGGAAAUAUUUCACAUUUUGGAUUUUUUUUUUUUUUUUUUUUUUUUUUUUUUUUUUUUUUUUUUUUUUUUUUUUUUU
Molecule: long non-coding RNA, 1022 nt
Organism: Anopheles coluzzii
Lineage: Eukaryota; Metazoa; Arthropoda; Insecta; Diptera; Culicidae
Exons: 2
Source: RefSeq, a predicted model, not a curated record